This 253-nucleotide ribosomal RNA is filed under the name uncultured bacterium. RNAcentral describes it as "partial 16S ribosomal RNA". It matches the Rfam family "Bacterial small subunit ribosomal RNA", at positions 524 to 776 of the family's 1533-position model. The record is from RNAcentral.
GACGAAGGGGGCUAGCGUUGUUCGGAAUUACUGGGCGUAAAGCGCGUGUAGGCGGCUAAGUAAGUCGGGCGUGAAAUCCCACGGCUCAACCGUGGAAGUGCACUCGAAACUGCAUAGCUAGAGUCCUGGAGAGGAAGGUGGAAUGCUUGGUGUAGAGGUGAAAUUCGUAGAUAUCAAGCGGAACACCGGUGGCGAAGGCGGCCUUCUGGACAGUGACUGACGCUGAGACGCGAAAGCGUGGGGAGCAAACAGG